RNAcentral lists this long non-coding RNA (1573 nucleotides) under Sus scrofa (pig). RNAcentral describes it as "lncRNA (ENSSSCG00070013860.1)". The record is from RNAcentral. Lineage: Eukaryota; Metazoa; Chordata; Mammalia; Artiodactyla; Suidae.
GCUGUGGGAGUGGCUCAAGAAAAGGCAAAAAGACAAAAAGAAAAAAAAAUCCUCUUUGGGAAUGGAGCGAGGAAAGGUUGAGUAGAAUUGUUGAGUUAGUCUGUUUUGGCUUAGGUUAGUCUCUUCAAGUUCUAGAAUUAGCCAUAUUUAUAAAUUUCAUAAAUUAAAAGUAUCACUAUGUAGCUUUGAGUGCCUCAGAGAUUUAAUAAACAACUUUAAAACAAGGCCAGAAUUAUAGGGGGGGAAAAAAGCUAGUUUACCACCUUGCCUGUCUUCUGGAGGACUUAGGUGUAUUAUAAAUGUGAUAUAAUCAGGAAAAUCAAACAUUUUAAAACCUGGCAUUCUUUUUUUUUUUUUUUUUUUCUUUUUAUGUAGGUGUGGCAUAUGGAAGUUCCUAGGCUAGGGAUCAAAUCAGAGCUGCAGCUGCUGGCCUACACCACAGCCAUAGCAAUGCCAGAGCUAAGUCUGUGACCUACAACACAGCUCACAGCAAUGCCAGAUCCUUAACCCACGGAGCAAGGCCAGAGAUUGAACCCGCAUCCUCAUGGAUACCAGUUAGGUUCAUGACCACUGAGCUACAGUGGGAACUCCAAAACCUGGCAUUCUUACUAAUUUUAUCUAUUCCAGAGUUUGACAUUUUUUUAAAUUAAAAAAUUAAAAAUUGUGGUAAGAUUUUAAAUUGUGGUAAGAUAGUCAUAAUGUAAAAUUUACUAUUUUAACCCCUCUUUUAGGUGUACAUGACUGAUUUGCUUUGAAGUGAGGGAAACAGCUUAUUCCAGACUGUCCUUUGGAGGAGGCUGGAUGAGUUGGCUUGGCUCCACAUGGGAGAGGGGGUGCCAUCAUCCCCAGUGGUCAACACAAGAAUGCUUCCAUGAUCACUAGUGCUUGUUUUGGCCAGCAGUAUUUUCUGAAAGAUCGUUGCUCCUGGAAUAUGAUGAAAAGGUUUACUAUCCAAAGUGUAAGAAGUUUGAGAAGGUUCAAAGGAAAGAAACACCAAAGGCGACUUAGGAAGAAAGAUAAUUUGCUGGAGUAGACAGUACUGGCCUGGGAUUCAGGUAAGAGCCAAUAUUGGUCUUGACUCUGAACUUAGGUGGUUACUUUCUUAAAGCCAGCCAUUGAAUUUCUCAGAGGCUCAGGUUCUUUAUUUGUACCUGGGAACAAUAUCCCUUCUGCCUGUUUACAGUAGAGUCAAAUGAAAUUGUAUAUGAAAUAAUACUUAUAAGCUAUAAAGUAUUAUGCAAAUACAAUGCAACUUUAAACAACUUAAGGGAACCACAUUAAACUAGACUGUUGAAUGUUUCUUAAAAAAAAUAUCUUGAGUGUUUUAUUUCACCAAAUUUAUGUUUUUACUCAGCAGACUUAGAAUUGACAAAAAUGGGAUUUAGGUAAGAAAUUAGUUUCUUCUAUCUUGAGAUAGGGAAAUGUUGCAAUAAUUUAAAAGGCAAAGUUUCCUUUCCCCACUUUUGGGUAUAUUUAGAAGGAAAAGGCAGACAAGUAAUGUUUUGGAAAUGAAGAAUAGAUGGACCACCCAACCGCAAUGCAUGUGGGGAUAGAGCAAAACAACCCCUGACAA